Molecule: ribosomal RNA, 1214 nt
Filed under: Morphostenophanes sinicus
Lineage: Eukaryota; Metazoa; Arthropoda; Insecta; Coleoptera; Tenebrionidae
Description: 16S ribosomal RNA
Rfam family: Bacterial large subunit ribosomal RNA (bases 797-1161)
Source: RNAcentral
AAAAAUACUAAAUUUUGUUAUCUAGGGAUAAAUUGGUUUUAUUAUAGUUUAUAGUACUGUGAGGGAUUUUCUUAAAGUUAUUAGAAGAAGGCUUAGACCGUACCUUGUGUAUCAGGGCUUACUGAAUAGGGGCUAGUUAGUUGGCUUUCCCGAUCUUAAAAGAGUUACACUUGUAUUUAUUUUACUGUAGAAAAAUUAUUUAUAAUUUAAGUGUUGUAGUGAAAUGUUAGUCGUUUUUGAGGGUAUCUGGUUUCUUUAGAAAUGAAUUUAAUUCAGGCCUUUAUUAUUGUGUUUAUAAUUUUUUAUUGUACGAUGUGGUGGGCUAGUUCUCAGAGGGAUAAGCUUCUGGGAAAAUUGUUAUAAGCAGAGGGGCACGGAGUUUGUGUAGGAUUAGAACUUUCUAUCAUUUAAAUUAUGUUAAAAUUAGAACUUCUUUUGUCUGAUUUUUUCUGUUUUUUGGUUUUUAUAGGGAUUUUAUUUAUAAUGUUGACUAUUAAGGAAUUAUGGUGAGAUUAGUAUACUGUUGAAUGUAUUGGUAUAUACAUUUUGUUAGGUUGGGCAAAGGAAUUCGGCAACUAGUGUUUUCACCUGUUUAAUAAAAACAUGUCUUUUUGAUUAUUAUAAAAGGUCGGGCCUGCCCAAUGAUUUUUAAAUGGCCGCAGUAUUUUGACUGUGCAAAGGUAGCAUAAUCAUUAGUUUCUUGAUUGGAAGCUGGAAUGAAAGGUUUGAUGAGGGACAGACUGUCUCUGCCUUAUUAUUGUAGAAGUUUAUUUUUUAGUAAGAAAGCUUAGAUUUUGUAAAAAGACGAGAAGACCCUAUAGAGUUUUAUGCUUUACUUUUCUAGUGUUUGUAAGUUUUACGUGAUACUGGGUUUGAAAUUAUUUUGUUGGGGUGACAUUAAAAUUUAAUUAACUUUUAAUUAUUGGCACGUGAAUAAGCGGGUGGUUGAUCCUUUGUUUGAGAUUAUAAGACUAAAUUACCUUAGGGAUAACAGCGUGAUUUUCCUUAGGAGUUCUUAUUUAUAGGGGAGUUUGCGACCUCGAUGUUGGAUUAAAAUUAAGUUCCGGUGCAGUUGCUGGGAAGUUAGGUCUGUUCGACCUUUAAAAUUUUACAUGAUCUGAGUUUAGACCGGCGUGAGCCAGGUUGGUUUCUAUCUUUUAUUUUGUUUGUUAUUCUAGUACGAAAGGACCGGGUAGUAUAAUUUAAUUAUUAUU